RNAcentral lists this ribosomal RNA (498 nucleotides) under uncultured bacterium. Its description in RNAcentral is "partial 16S ribosomal RNA". It matches the Rfam family "Bacterial small subunit ribosomal RNA", at positions 30 to 523 of the family's 1533-position model. The record is from RNAcentral.
AUUGAACGCUGGCGGCAUGCCUUACACAUGCAAGUCGAACGGUAACGGGCCUUCGGGUGCCGACGAGUGGCGAACGGGUGAGUAAUACAUCGGAACGUGCCCGAUCGUGGGGGAUAACGAGGCGAAAGCUUUGCUAAUACCGCAUACGAUCUACGGAUGAAAGCAGGGGACCGCAAGGCCUUGCGCGGACGGAGCGGCCGAUGGCAGAUUAGGUAGUUGGUGGGAUAAAAGCUUACCAAGCCGACGAUCUGUAGCUGGUCUGAGAGGACGAUCAGCCACACUGGGACUGAGACACGGCCCAGACUCCUACGGGAGGUAGCAGUGGGGAAUUUUGGACAAUGGGCGCAAGCCUGAUCCAGCCAUGCCGCGUGCAGGAUGAAGGCCUUCGGGUUGUAAACUGCUUUUGUACGGAACGAAAAGCCUUCUUCUAAUACAGGAGGGUCAUGACGGUACCGUAAGAAUAAGCACCGGCUAACUACGUGCCAGCCGCCGCAGUAA